Molecule: ribosomal RNA, 417 nt
Filed under: uncultured bacterium
Lineage: Bacteria
Description: partial 16S ribosomal RNA
Rfam family: Bacterial small subunit ribosomal RNA
Source: RNAcentral
AAUAUUGGACAAUGGGGGCAACUCUGAACCAGCCAUGCAGCGUGCAGUACGUCGGUUCUAUGGCUUGUAAACUGCUUUUGUACAGGAAGAAAUUAUCCCUCGUGAGGGAGCUUGACAGUACUGUAAGUCUAAGGAUCGUCUAACUCCGUGCCAGCAGCCGCGGUAAUACGGAUGAUCCAAGCGUUAUCCGGAAUCAUUGGGUUUAAAGGGUCCGUAGGCGGAUUAGUAAGUCAGGGGUGAAAGUUUGCGGCUUAACCGUAAAAUUGCCUUUGAUACUGCUAGUCUUGAAUAAUUAUGAAGUAGCUAGAAUAUGUAGUGUAGCGGUGAAAUGCUUAGAUAUUACAUGGAAUACCGAUUGCGAAGGCAGGUUACUAAUAAUUUAUUGACGCUGAUGGACGAAAGCGUGGGGAGCGAACA